This 489-nucleotide ribosomal RNA is filed under the name Veillonella dispar. Its description in RNAcentral is "bacterial SSU rRNA". It matches the Rfam family "Bacterial small subunit ribosomal RNA", at positions 28 to 487 of the family's 1533-position model. Lineage: Bacteria; Bacillati; Bacillota; Negativicutes; Veillonellales; Veillonellaceae. The record is from RNAcentral.
GACGAACGCUGGCGGCGUGCUUAACACAUGCAAGUCGAACGAAGAGCGAUGGAAGCUUGCUUCUAUCAAUCUUAGUGGCGAACGGGUGAGUAACGCGUAAUCAACCUGCCCUUCAGAGGGGGACAACAGUUGGAAACGACUGCUAAUACCGCAUACGAUCUAACCUCGGCAUCGAGGAUGGAUGAAAGGUGGCCUCUAUUUAUAAGCUAUCACUGAAGGAGGGGAUUGCGUCUGAUUAGCUAGUUGGAGGGGUAACGGCCCACCAAGGCGAUGAUCAGUAGCCGGUCUGAGAGGAUGAACGGCCACAUUGGGACUGAGACACGGCCCAGACUCCUACGGGAGGCAGCAGUGGGGAAUCUUCCGCAAUGGACGAAAGUCUGACGGAGCAACGCCGCGUGAGUGAUGACGGCUUCGGGUUGUAAAGCUCUGUUAAUCGGGACGAAAGGCCUUCUUGCGAAUAGUUAGAAGGAUUGACGGUACCGGAAUAGA